Molecule: long non-coding RNA, 234 nt
Filed under: Prunus persica (peach)
Lineage: Eukaryota; Viridiplantae; Streptophyta; Magnoliopsida; Rosales; Rosaceae
Description: long non-coding RNA (PPER_LNC002405)
Source: RNAcentral
UAUUAAUUAAUUCAUGAAAAGUUUCAUAAGGAAUAUUUUCAAACUUAAACAAAUGCGAACAUCAAUUAGUUAAUGGCCAAGGAUAUGAUUAAUCGAUUCCUAUUCUAAUAUCUAAUUACUAAGGAGCAGCUCAUCCUCAAAUCAAAUAGAAUUUUGAUACUUGGCAAAUUCCAAAACAAAGAAAGUUAAAUAAAGUUAACAAGUGUCAAAAUCCCAUUCGUUCUAAGGAGGAGC